Molecule: small nuclear RNA, 243 nt
Filed under: Sorex araneus (European shrew)
Lineage: Eukaryota; Metazoa; Chordata; Mammalia; Eulipotyphla; Soricidae
Description: 7SK RNA (ENSSARG00000019433.1)
Rfam family: 7SK RNA
About the family: 7SK was discovered as an abundant small nuclear RNA in the mid-70s but a possible function has only recently been suggested. Two independent studies have found that 7SK RNA binds the CDK9/cyclin T complex (known as elongation factor P-TEFb).
Source: RNAcentral
GAAUGCAUGAGGAUAAUCUGUUAACAGUGUUUGUCAUCCCAUGGAUCACCAGGUAUGAUUCGGCCCAUCUAGCUGGCUAAGGUGGGUCUCCCAUUCCUCCUCUGCCAAUCCAUGUGCAUUCUUUCCAGAGAUGCAUGCUUGAUUAAGAGGGUAGCGUCCCCAAAUUGGACGCAACCUCAUGGAAGGUAUAUGAGAGAACUUGACCUUUCAACACCUAUAAUUCCUGUUACUUGGACAGUUUUU